UUUUGGGAUGCAGAGCUGGGAGAGACUGGAAUGUUAAUGGUCCACGGCUCCAACACUCUCCAGUUGCAGAAGCAGUGGGAGCUUUGCUGCUCAUGGGCAAAGGAACCACCUGGGGAAGGGGGGGUUAAAUGGGCUUGGCUGGAGGAGGUGGCACCUGUGUUGAGUAAUUUCUGAAAUCCAAUCGAUCUGGGAUGACCCCAAAUGACAGUUUAGUUUUCACCUUGCUCGAGCUGUAUCUCAGCUGUUCUCUGAACAGUUCUCUCCCCCACCUGCCUGUUACUUCCCCACUGCUCCCUCUUUUCCCUGCAACGAGUUCCCAGCUCCUCAUGGUCUCCAUCAAACCAUUGACAGAAGAAAUAGAAACUCUACUCCCAGUACCCUGGAGUGCCCAAAUGAGGAACAAUGUAAUCCUGGAGAAGUCCUAGAGAAUUAGAUAAGGGAUGUCCCAAACCAACAGGAUGUAAACUAAGCCCUGUGUACCCAGAUAAAAGAAGCACAGUGGUGCUGUGCUGCUCAAGAACUGAGGUCAGGAUGACAGAGAAGGCCAGGAAGGCCCAGAAAAGGACUUCCAAUAGGGGUGUGACUAUGUAAAGCAGAGUAAUGAAUAUGUAUUAAGUAAGCAAGGCUAUCAAAUGCACAUGUAAACAGUGUGUGUAAUAAAAAGCCCUGUCUGUCAUUUGGCACGUUGGAUUAGAGGAACUCUCCUCUGAACCUCCAGCAUGCUGAACAAAGAAGAAUGCCCUUUUUAACAUCUCCAAAUUGGGGUUAAGAAGUUUGUUUCUGCUGCUUUUGGGUGUAAUUUUUGGCCCCCCAGACAGGACACCUCUGCCUGAUCUCCCACGGAUCUGAGGGAUCUCUGGAUCUUCAACCAGCACCAGGACUUUGCUGGAGAAGAGCACAGAUCCCCAGCCCAGUCUGGGACACAGAACCUGUGAAAUGGCAGAAGGAUUGUGGUGUGAAUGCAGCGCCCUCAGAGCCCUUGGUGUGAGCCCGGAAAGGAAAAUCAAGGGAGAUGGUUAAAGCCUUGUUGUUCAGUGUGGAGCACAGGAGAACUUUGUUCUCAUCAUCUCCCCAAUAAAGAGGAGGACUCAGAUCUUCUGGUUGGCCCCACGGGCAGGUUGAGUGGGGGAACAGAAAAUCAAGAUGCAGAAACCAAUCUUGCAGGGGAACUGGCAUGUGAAGAGGCAGAUUUAGCAUGUCCAGAAGAAAAGGAGAGAGAAUGUGUCAGAGAGAGAGCAGAGAGCUUCAGAAAUCCCUGAGGAAAUGGUGCCCCCGGGGAGAGGAAGAGGAUGAGAGCAUGGGCAGCCUGCUUCAAACAUCCCCCCCAGGAGACUUGGGAUCAAUCCCUGUGCAUCCUGUAAGAAAGAUGGACACUGGAAAUGGGAUUAUCCACAACUGAAACUUCAGAACCCUCCCAACCCUCUCCUGGCAUCACUGCAGACGACUGAGGGGGCACCAGAGGAUUCUUCCCCAUCAGAACAUCUGGUUCCAGCCAAGCUAAGUACAAUUGGUUGUGGCUGUGGGAACUUGUUCCCCUGUCUUAAAUAAGGGAAAAUGAAACUCAAGUCACAAUUCUGGAACAACUGUCUGGUGUGACAGGGAAUUGGGAAACUGGGCCAUUUUUAAUGCUGUGGAUUUAAAACUGGGAAAACAGUGGUUGGCUCCCCAGUAUUUCCCCAAUUCCCCAAAGCCUCUGCCUGGGAGAGAUCUCUUGGAAAAAUUAAAUGCCACAAUCCAAUUUAAAAA
Pipra filicauda (Wire-tailed manakin) is the source of this 1746-nucleotide long non-coding RNA. RefSeq lists it as uncharacterized. The transcript is spliced from 2 exons. NCBI's taxonomy places the organism in Eukaryota, Metazoa, Chordata, Aves, Passeriformes, Pipridae. The record is from RefSeq and is a predicted model, not a curated record.